This 76-nucleotide transfer RNA is filed under the name Clostridium sp. RNAcentral describes it as "tRNA-Thr". It matches the Rfam family "tRNA". Rfam says of the family: Transfer RNA (tRNA) molecules are approximately 80 nucleotides in length. Their secondary structure includes four short double-helical elements and three loops (D, anti-codon, and T loops). The record is from RNAcentral. Lineage: Bacteria; Bacillati; Bacillota; Clostridia; Eubacteriales; Clostridiaceae.
GCUCAUAUAGCUCAGUAGGUAGAGCGUCACCUUGGUAAGGUGGAGGUAGUCGGUUCGAUCCCGAUCGUGGGCUCCA